GACGAACGCUGGCGGCGUGCUUAACACAUGCAAGUCGAACGGAAAGGCCCUGCUUUUGUGGGGUGCUCGAGUGGCGAACGGGUGAGUAACACGUGAGUAACCUGCCCUUGACUUUGGGAUAACUUCAGGAAACUGGGGCUAAUACCGGAUAGGAGCUCCUGCUGCAUGGUGGGGGUUGGAAAGUUUCGGCGGUUGGGGAUGGACUCGCGGCUUAUCAGCUUGUUGGUGGGGUAGUGGCUUACCAAGGCUUUGACGGGUAGCCGGCCUGAGAGGGUGACCGGCCACAUGGGGACGGGGAUACGGCCCAGACUCCCACGGGGGGCAGAAGGGGGGAAUAUGGCACAAGGGGGGGAAGCCUGAUGCAGCAACGCCGGGGGGGGGAUGACGGCCUUCGGGUUGGAAACCGCUUUCCCCUGGGACGAAGCGGGAGUGACGGUAAUGGGGAAAGAAGCACCGGCUAACUACGU
Molecule: ribosomal RNA, 467 nt
Filed under: uncultured bacterium
Lineage: Bacteria
Description: partial 16S ribosomal RNA
Rfam family: Bacterial small subunit ribosomal RNA
Source: RNAcentral